UAAUACAGAGGGGGCAAGCGUUGUCCGGACUUACUGGGUGUAAAGCGCAUGCAGGUGGCUGUGCAAGUAUGCUGUGAAAGCCCCGUGCUUAACACGGGGAGGCCAGUAUAGACUGCACGGCUCGAGGACUGCAGAGGGUAGGGGAAUUGCUGGUGUAGUGGUGAAAUGCGUAGAGAUCAGCAGGAACACCAAGGCCGAAGGGACCUACCUGGGCAGUAUCUGACACUCAAGUGCGACAGCGUGGGGAGCGAACCGGAUUAGAUACCCGGGUAGUCCACGCCGUAAACGAUGGAUGCUCGGCGUUUGGGGGAGAAAUCUCCUGGGCGCCUCAGCUGACGCGGAAGCAUCCCACCUGGGAACUACGAGCGCAAGCUUA
This 376-nucleotide ribosomal RNA is filed under the name uncultured bacterium. RNAcentral's name for it is "bacterial SSU rRNA". It matches the Rfam family "Bacterial small subunit ribosomal RNA", at positions 521 to 896 of the family's 1533-position model. The record is from RNAcentral.